This 433-nucleotide ribosomal RNA is filed under the name uncultured bacterium. RNAcentral describes it as "partial 16S ribosomal RNA". It matches the Rfam family "Bacterial small subunit ribosomal RNA", at positions 29 to 507 of the family's 1533-position model. The record is from RNAcentral.
AGCGAACGCUGGCGGCAGGCCUAACACAUGCAAGUCGAACGGAUCCUUCGGGAUUAGUGGCGGACGGGUGAGUAACACGUGGGAACGUGCCCUUUGGUUCGGAACAACUCAGGGAAACUUGAGCUAAUACCGGAUGUGCUCUUCGGGGGAAAGAUUUAUCGCCAUUGGAGCGGCCCGCGUCUGAUUAGCUAGUUGGUGAGGUAACGGCCCACCAAGGCGACGAUCAGUAGCUGGUCUGAGAGGAUGAUCAGCCACACUGGGACUGAGACACGGCCCAGACUCCUACGGGAGGCAGCAGUGGGGAAUCUUGCGCAAUGGGCGAAAGCCUGACGCAGCCAUGCCGCGUGAAUGAUGAAGGUCUUAGGAUUGUAAAAUUCUUUCAGCGGGGACGAUAAUGACGGUACCCGCAGAAGAAGCUCCGGCUAACUUCGUG